UAUUAUUACAUCUAAUAUAUAGUUAUCAAGUAUCAAGUAUAAUAAAUUAUUGUGAAAGAAUGGAUUUUCAGUAGUGUCUGUAGUAUAAUAAAUUUUGCAAAUUACUAAGGUCCAGUGUAAAAUGACUUAUGUGCCAUUUGAGAGAUUUUAGGAGAGUUUGAGUUGGGUUGGAACUAUUUUGGCGUGAAAACGAUGCAAAAAAUAAAAUUCCUGAACCAACCUACAAACUAGCCAUUCUCCAACUUUAGUACCGAUAUUGAAGUUUCGGUGUACCAGUUAUGACAUCCCAAUAGCGUGACAUCCCAAUAGCUCCACAUCGGAUAAUGUGGGAGAGAGUGUGACGAGUUUAUAAGUAACGAAUGUACUAGUAAUAAUAACUGGGUUUAAUCAUUUUGGGCUGGUGAUAUGGACCUAACGAGUUAUUAUUAAUUGCUAGUGGGUCCAGCUGUUAUA
This 453-nucleotide long non-coding RNA is filed under the name Ananas comosus (pineapple). Its description in RNAcentral is "long non-coding RNA (ACOM_LNC002123)". Lineage: Eukaryota; Viridiplantae; Streptophyta; Magnoliopsida; Poales; Bromeliaceae. The record is from RNAcentral.